CCGCUUCGGCAGCGUGUGUACUAAAACAAGAACAACACAGGGAAGAUUAGCACGCCCCCUUCGCAAGGAUGACUCACAAAUUCAUGAAGCAUUCCAUAGUUUU
Pteronotus mesoamericanus is the source of this 103-nucleotide small nuclear RNA. NCBI's taxonomy places the organism in Eukaryota, Metazoa, Chordata, Mammalia, Chiroptera, Mormoopidae. The record is from RefSeq and is a predicted model, not a curated record.